Molecule: long non-coding RNA, 1981 nt
Filed under: Helianthus annuus (common sunflower)
Lineage: Eukaryota; Viridiplantae; Streptophyta; Magnoliopsida; Asterales; Asteraceae
Description: sRNA HanXRQr2_Chr03g0103631
Source: RNAcentral
GAGGUCAAGAGAUAAUCAUCUCAUCUCCUCAACUCCCCCCGAUGCCUGGUGUGCUCUCAACAGUUUUCGAUGAAAUAGAACACCCUAAAUCCAUGGGCGGUGUUCCCACCUAGGGUUGUGGGUCACCAUUUCUUCCCUAGACUCCACACCGUUGCCCCUUGUCAAGAUUGCACCUCAAGGUUUUGGUUCCUACUAGCUUCGAUCCCGAAGCUAUUGUUAUUUAUUUUCACUUUAAGACCAUUCAAAAUAUUCAAAACGGAUUACUUGGAUUAAAGGUUGCUUAAAGCCUGGUAAAGGUUCGGUUCUAGUUAAUGGGUCGCACACGGUGUAAUUUAAGUUCAAGAGAGGUCUUAGACAGACAGGGAGACCCCCUUUCUUUUGGGUUGAUCUACACCCAUCUUCUUACUAUUUUUACCCCUUGUGAGUAAAACUGCGGGUCUUAUCCGUAAAUUUGUGUGAGGAGGGGUACAUUUAGUAACACACUUACCACCAAGGGCGGACCCAAGCCCAACCCAAGGUGGGCGGGCGCACCCCCGGGGAAAAAAAUUUAGUGCUAAGUUCCGUUGAAAAUCCCGUCCGCACCCCUUGGAAAUUUUCGUCCGCACCCUUUGGAAUUUUUCGACCGCACCCUUUAAAAUUUUCGUCCGCACCCCUUAGGUAAAAAGUGUUAUCAAUUUAUAUUUUAAAUUUUUUAGUAAACUCUUAUUUGAAAAAAUACUACCUAAAUUAUAAAACUUUUAAUACCUAACUAACAAAACCCAUCCCUUUACCCACUUAUAAUUCCUAACUAGCUAGCCCACUAAGUCUUAGCCCAUUAACCAAACCCAACAAUAUUUCAAACUAUAACAAAAUAAUUAAAGCCCAAAACCUUUAGAAAUUCUCUCCCGCUCUCUCUCUCUUGCGUCCCUGCACUGCCAACGAACAACAUCACCCACCGACAACAGUCCAGCAGUUGGCGACCACCGUAAUCAGCCACCAUACCACCGUCGUUUGACACCAAAUCUAACCGGAAUCCGAACACGGGUAAGUUUCUUUGUUAUUUUGAUGAUUUUGGUUGAUAUUAUAGGAGAAAAAAGGAUGAUUUUUAGGGUGAUUAUGUUGUUUAUAUAUUUUCAGGGUGAUUAUGUUGUUUAUAUAUUUUUAGGGUGAUUACAACUUACGUUAUGAUUUUUAGGGCUUGAAUAGUUGAAAAUUAAAAUUAAAACUGAAACAUUAUGUUAUGGAGCGAUGAACUUAUAUUAUAUAGAGAAAGAAUUGCUUAAGAAAUUAGUUUUAGAUAAUAUUUUUGAUAGAUUUCAAAAAAUGAAAACCCGUAGGGCGUCGACGUUUUAAUUAUGUUUGUAACAAGGUUUGACAUGUUUUUGAUGAUUAUACAAAUUUAGUUUGAUGUUCGUUUGUUUUACAUGACCCGACUCGAACCGAUCCGAUACGAACCGAUUUUUUUACAUAUAUAUACCUAGGGGUCUAAAAUUUUUAAAAAUGUUCCGCACCCCAUGAAAAAAUUCAUGGGUCCGCCACUACUUACCACUUUCUUUGUAUAGUGUAUAUGAUAUUUUAUUAUAGCCGGUGUACGAUUUUUGAUUUCUUUAUACAGUGUGUACGAUUUGCAAUUAUAGCCGGUGUGUACGAUUUUCAAUUUCUGUAUAACAGUGUGUACGAAUCAAUUAUAGCCAAUGUGUACGAUUUUUAAUUUCUUAAUACAGUCAUAAAAGAAUAAUCUAAUUCAUUAUUAUUAAUUAUUAAAUUUAUAAAACUGAUAUAUUCAUAUAACUAAAUUAUUAGAAACAUUACCUCCGAUCUGUGGGUAAUAGCCAAAUCUUUUGACCAACAGAUGGUUAUAUUUCAAGCUAUAAAACACAUACAUUUACUUGAUCUUCUACUUCCAUUAGUAAAACUGAUAUAUUCACUUAACACAUACAUAAUAUAUUAGAAACGAAACAAAUAUGUUUUUUUUUUUGGUAGAGAUUACGGUGCCCUGGUA